AUUACUGGGCUUAAGCGUUCGUAGCUGGUUUGUUAAGUCUCUGGGGAAAUCUUCCGGCUUAACCGGAAGGCGUCUCAGGGAUACUGGCAGACUAGGGACCGGGAGAGGUGAGGGGUACUCCAGGGGUAGGAGUGAAAUCCUGUAAUCCUUGGGGGACCACCUGUGGCGAAGGCGCCUCACCAGAACGGCUCCGACAGUGAGGGACGAAAGCUGGGGGAGCAAACCGGAUUAGAUACCCGGGUAGUCCCAGCUGUAAACGAUGCGCGUUAGGUGUAUCAGUGACCACGAGUCACUGAGGUGCCGAAGAGAAAUCGUGAAACGUGCCGCCUGGGAAGUACGGUCGCAAGGCUGAAACUUAAAGGAAUUGGCGGGGGAGCACCACAACAGGUGGAGCCUGCGGUUUAAU
Molecule: ribosomal RNA, 406 nt
Filed under: uncultured methanogenic archaeon
Lineage: Archaea; Methanobacteriati; Methanobacteriota
Description: bacterial SSU rRNA
Rfam family: Archaeal small subunit ribosomal RNA
Source: RNAcentral